RNAcentral lists this ribosomal RNA (492 nucleotides) under Fusarium sp. RNAcentral's name for it is "eukaryotic LSU rRNA". The stretch from base 165 to 318 matches the Rfam family "5.8S ribosomal RNA". The record is from RNAcentral. Lineage: Eukaryota; Fungi; Ascomycota; Sordariomycetes; Hypocreales; Nectriaceae.
AGCGGAGGGAUCAUUACCGAGUUUACAACUCCCAAACCCCUGUGAACAUACCUAUACGUUGCCUCGGCGGAUCAGCCCGCGCCCUGUAAAAAGGGACGGCCCGCCCGAGGACCCUAAACUCUGUUUUUAGUGGAACUUCUGAGUAAAACAAACAAAUAAAUCAAAACUUUCAACAACGGAUCUCUUGGUUCUGGCAUCGAUGAAGAACGCAGCAAAAUGCGAUAAGUAAUGUGAAUUGCAGAAUUCAGUGAAUCAUCGAAUCUUUGAACGCACAUUGCGCCCGCCAGUAUUCUGGCGGGCAUGCCUGUUCGAGCGUCAUUUCAACCCUCAAGCUCAGCUUGGUGUUGGGACUCGCGGUAACCCGCGUUCCCCAAAUCGAUUGGCGGUCACGUCGAGCUUCCAUAGCGUAGUAAUCAUACACCUCGUUACUGGUAAUCGUCGCGGCCACGCCGUAAAACCCCAACUUCUGAAUGUUGACCUCGGAUCAGGUAG